This 1211-nucleotide long non-coding RNA is filed under the name Solanum tuberosum (potato). RNAcentral describes it as "long non-coding RNA (STUB_LNC006957)". The record is from RNAcentral. Lineage: Eukaryota; Viridiplantae; Streptophyta; Magnoliopsida; Solanales; Solanaceae.
UUUUCAUCAUUAGAAUUAAUCAAUGUGGACAAGUCAACCCAUCACCAAGCCUCAUUACCCUAAACACAUAUUACAAGGAAAUACAUGAAUUCCAUACACUUAACAAGGGUUUAGAAAUCCACUUGCCUCAAUCAAUCAAGAAUUCACUCCGGAACUUGAGCCUUCCCUUUUCGUUGAACUUUCAACUCAAAGCAAUCUAUUCAAAUAAAUGACCACAGUAAGAUUCCAAAACUAACGACACUUAUAUUACUAUGUGUUUAGCUUUGACCCAAAAAUCCACCCAAGUUUAUAAUCAAGUUCUUAAGCUCGAUGUCAAUUAACAUAUCAACUCUCAUAUUUCUCAAAUUCAAGCCUAGGGUUAAGUCAUAAUUUCCCCAAACACUAUAACCCUAAUAGCUUUCAUAUAAUAUAAUACACUCGAUAUUUAAUCAAAUAUCUCAAUAUAUCAAACUUGAAUCAUAAUAUGAAAACUAAAGAAAAUAAACCAAAAUCUGCCUAAAUCAAACGUGACCCAUACUUAACCUGCAUACAAAGAAAUAUCCAGAACCUUAUUUGUCCAUAAUUACCAAUUUAUAAUUGUUUCGUGACUUUUGCCCACUAUUUUAUCCCAAUCGAAAAUUGAUGCCACACAUAUGGCCAAUGUAAGACAAAAUAUUUGUGAAUUCCAAACAUUAAUUACCUACUAGUUAAAUAAUGGAAACUCCCCACCGAUUGACAGUUUAAUACUUUUCAUAUACACCUCUUAUAUUUAACAAUUUUACAUUUCAACCAAAACCGCUAUAAUCCAUCCAAUUUCUAAUUUAACAUAUUAAUAUAAUAAUAUAACUUAUCACCAACCAUUAAUAUACUAUUAUUUUCCUAUAACAACAAUACAGAAACAAAAUAAACUUAAGAUUUUACCUGAAGCAUGCGUUUCUUAUCAUGGCAUCGACCUGUGCCCUCCGCCUCUCUCGUCCGACGCCCAGGUAAUUUUCUCCUCUUUUUAUUAUAUUUUCUUUUCAUAUAAAAAUAAUCAAGUAUAAAAGUGAAAAACCCUAUUACUUAUUUUAAUAUAUAAGGGUCAAAUAGUGUGGGGUCUUAAAUAAAUUAUCACUUUAGUCCAUUAACUAUUGAUUAAUUCAAUUAUCUACAAUUAUCCAUCAAUUAAUUAACUGUAGUUAAACGAAUAUUUAAAAUUCCCACAAAUGACCUUCCGGGUCAUUACACCGGGC